This is a small RNA of Pseudoxanthobacter soli DSM 19599, 78 nucleotides long. It matches the Rfam family "Makes More Granules Regulator RNA (mmgR)". From Rfam's summary of the family: SuhB later renamed mmgR (makes more granules regulator) was a putative non-coding RNA found multiple times in the Agrobacterium tumefaciens genome and related alpha-proteobacteria. Other non-coding RNAs uncovered in the same analysis include: speF, ybhL, metA, and serC. Lineage: Bacteria; Pseudomonadati; Pseudomonadota; Alphaproteobacteria; Hyphomicrobiales; Segnochrobactraceae. The record is from Rfam.
AGGAUGUGCCCUCUUUGGGCGUUUCCUCCCAGACUUAAGACCGCGCGCUCGUUCGCUGCGGUCUUUUUUUUGCCUGAC